Molecule: ribosomal RNA, 369 nt
Filed under: uncultured organism
Description: partial 16S ribosomal RNA
Rfam family: Bacterial small subunit ribosomal RNA
Source: RNAcentral
GGAGGGUGCAAGCGUUAAUCGGAAUUACUGGGCGUAAAGGGCGCGUAGGCGGCUGUUCAAGUUAGAUGUGAAAUCCCCGGGGGCUCAACCUGGGAAUGGCAUCUAAAACUGAACGGCUAGAGUCAAGUAGAGGUGAGUGGAAUUUCCGGUGUAGCGGUGAAAUGCGUAGAGAUCGGAAGGAACAUCAGUGGCGAAGGCGACUCACUGGACGAUGACUGACGCUGAGGCGCGAAGGCGUGGGUAGCGAACAGGAUUAGAGACCCUGGUAGUCCACGCGGUAAACGAUGAGAACUAGCUGUUAGGACUUCGGUCUUAGUGGCGCAGCUAACGCAUUAAGUUCUCCGCCUGGGGAGUACGGUCGCAAGAUUA